GACGAACGCUGGCGGCGUGCUUAACACAUGCAAGUCGAACGGAAAGGCCCUGCUUUUGUGGGGUGCUCGAGUGGCGAACGGGUGAGUAACACGUGAGUAACCUGCCCUUGACUUUGGGAUAACUUCAGGAAACUGGGGCUAAUACCGGAUAGGAGCUCCUGCUGCAUGGUGGGGGUUGGAAAGUUUCGGCGGUUGGGGAUGGACUCGCGGCUUAUCAGCUUGUUGGUGGGGUAGUGGCUUACCAAGGCUUUGACGGGUAGCCGGCCUGAGAGGGUGACCGGCCACAUUGAGACUGAGAUACGGCCCAGACUCCUACGGGAGGCAGCAGUGGAGAAUAUUGCACAAUGGGCGGAAGCCUGUUGCAGCAACGCCGCGUGCGGGAUGACGGCCUUCGGGUUGUAAACCGCUUUCGCCUGUGACGAAGCGUGAGUGACGGUAAUGGGUAAAGAAGCACCGGCUAACUACGUG
Molecule: ribosomal RNA, 468 nt
Filed under: uncultured bacterium
Lineage: Bacteria
Description: partial 16S ribosomal RNA
Rfam family: Bacterial small subunit ribosomal RNA
Source: RNAcentral